AUGGGUCUGAUGAUGCGCAAGAACGGCCUCUCCGCUGACAACGUCCUCGACGCCACCAUGGUCGAUGCUGAAGGGAACCUCCUGGCGAACAAGAAGGCCAUGGGGGACGACCUCUUCUGGGCUAUCCGCGGCGGCGGUGGCGGGAACUUCGGCAUCGUGCUGUCAUGGAAGCUGAGGCUCGUGCCGGUCCCACCGAAGGUGGCCUUCUUCAAUGUCACCAAGACCAUGGACCAGGGCGCGGUCGACGCGGUCACCAAAUGGCAAACGAUCGCGCCGGCGCUCCCCGAAGACCUCAGCGUACGUGUCAUCGUCCAGAAUCGUCAGGCGACCUUCCAGUCCCUGUACCUCGGCAACUGCAGCGCCGUGGUGGCGACGAUGCGCAGCCGGUUCCCGGAGCUCGGCCUGAAGCGCGGCGACUGCAAGGAGAUGAGCUGGCUGCAGCACAAGGCGUACCUAUACUUUGGCAAAGCCAGCAACAACAAGCCGCUGGAGGCGCUCCUCCUCAACCGGUCCAUGACCAUAGGCCCCUUUGUCAAGAACAAGUCCGACUAUGUCAAGAAGGCCCUCACCCGGGAUGCAUGGGAGAAGAUCUUCCUCUGGCCCGAUGGCGGGGCGGUGGGGCAGCUCAUCCUGGAGCCGCACGGCGGAAUGAUGAGCCGCAUCGCUGAUGACUACACGCCGUUCCCGUACCGGAGCGGCGUGCUGUACAACAUCCAGUACGUCGAGUUCUGGAAUGGCACAGGGGGGCACAGCAUGCCGAAAUGGCUCAGCGGCCUCUACGACUUCAUGGCACCGCUGGUUAGCAAGAGCCCGAGGGGUGUGUAUGUCAACUACCGGGACCUCGACAUUGGCGUGAACAAGGUGGUCGCUGGUGUGACGAGCUAUGAGACUGCCAAGGUGUGGGGUGAGAGGUAUUUCGGUCUGGCAAACUUUAAGAGACUCGCCAAGAUCAAGCGUAAGGUGGAUGCCACCGACUACUUCCGGAACGAGCAGAGCGUGCCGCCACUUCUCUUGAUCAGGGAAUGA
Molecule: ribosomal RNA, 1026 nt
Filed under: Triticum aestivum (bread wheat)
Lineage: Eukaryota; Viridiplantae; Streptophyta; Magnoliopsida; Poales; Poaceae
Description: partial small subunit ribosomal RNA
Source: RNAcentral